UACGUAGGGGGCAAGCGUUAUCCGGAUUUACUGGGUGUAAAGGGAGCGUAGACGGCAGCACAAGUCUGGAGUGAAAUCCCAUGGCUUAACCAUGGAACUGCUUUGGAAACUGUGCAGCUGGAGUGCAGGAGAGGUAAGCGGAAUUCCUAGUGUAGCGGUGAAAUGCGUAGAUAUUAGGAGGAACACCAGUGGCGAAGGCGGCUUACUGGACUGUAACUGACGUUGAGGCUCGAAAGCGUGGGGAGCAAACAGG
This 253-nucleotide ribosomal RNA is filed under the name uncultured bacterium. RNAcentral's name for it is "partial 16S ribosomal RNA". It matches the Rfam family "Bacterial small subunit ribosomal RNA", at positions 524 to 776 of the family's 1533-position model. The record is from RNAcentral.